UCUCCGUCCCUGGGUCUCGCCCUUCGGCCCCCAUCUCACCCUUUCCAGCUGAUGUGGUUGAUGUGAAUUUUGUCCUCUGCUUCUUCAGGCCGGAAAGACUGCAGCUCUCCUCUCUGUGCUGUGCUGACCAUGGCCUGCUCUCAAGAUCGAAGCCAUAAAAAGGUAGGAAACAGAGACUCAGAGAGGUUAAGCAGCUUGUCCAAGGGCGCACAGCCAGGAAGCAGCAGAUCUGGGAUUCCAGCGCCUGUUCUCCUGCCUCUUCACCACGUGGCUCUGGCCCUCCCACUGGCCUCUCUGGAACGGCAGACAGCACAGGGCCCUCUGCCCUCCCUUGACCUUCCAUCACUGUACCCCCCAAGGAUCCGCCACCGACUGGGGCCUCACAGGUCAUCGUCAGCGCCACCAGGCUGCCGCCAUUGUAUCCUUACAGCUGCAGUGUGCAGCAUUUGUCAGGGCGAACUGGAUUCUGACAUCUACCUUGGUAGGAGUCUGCGCUGGCAUCGAGACAGAGGCGGUGCGGGGAAGGACAGCAGCCCCUCCGUGGGCCUGCCCCAAGCACG
Molecule: long non-coding RNA, 560 nt
Organism: Artibeus jamaicensis (Jamaican fruit-eating bat)
Lineage: Eukaryota; Metazoa; Chordata; Mammalia; Chiroptera; Phyllostomidae
Exons: 4
Source: RefSeq, a predicted model, not a curated record